AUUUUACUGUCUCUAGGCUUAUAACCAAUCACAUGUUCAAAUAAUAUUUGUUGAAUGAAUGAAAGUCUGGGGCUGUAAAGUAGUUUGUUCUUUAAAAAUGUCUGAACAUCUGUCUGUAUGGGCAGGUUUCCUAGUUUCAUCCCAGAUUUGGAUCCUCAAAUCUUGGUGAUUCCUCUUCUGGCCCCUGCCGAGGUCCAUCCCUCAUCUCCUCUGAAGUGCAUUCCAGAAACAGCCAGGUGGCUGGUCUCCCGGCCCCUCCUCCUGUUGCCCACAGAGGGUCCUCCAGAGAUGUACUUGAGACUGUGCCUGCUGAGUACCCUGGGGAGGCUCCCUGCAGCCUCAGACCAGCGUCCAGCCCCGCAUCUCACCCUGCCUGCCUUACCCUCUUGGUUGCACUGUCCUGUGCUUUUUUUCAGUUCCUGAAAUGGGCCCCAACACCUCAGGCAGUAACUUCCGUGAAUCAUAAUUUAUCAUGACAGUGGUAUUGGUCAAAACAACUGGAAGACAGGGAGGGCAGAGGGAGAAGAAACCACUCCCUACCCCAGUAAGUUUCCGACAGAACUACAGGCAGAGGAAGAACGUGAGGAGCCAAGCGAACGGAGCGGUGCUGGGAAAACCCUGCUGGCACAUUCUGUCCACUAACCCAGCCAGCAUUUGCAGGACACACAUCGAACCACGGAAGCACAGAGGGGAAGGGAGGCAGACAAGAAGGAAGGCUGGAUGCCACUCGGAGGAGCCCAUGAUUCAACAGGAACCCUGUGGGCAGCUGCUGAAGGAGUCUUAGUCCCCAAAGAGUUGGACCAGGUACUUGGUAGAUGUGAUUACAGUCCACGAUCGAUUGGCUGACUUUUACCUGAAAGAAAUGAUCCUAGAUGAUCUGGGUGGACCUGAAUCAAUCCGUUGAAAGGCAGAACUGAAGCUUUCUUCCUAAGAAAAGAAGUCAUUUCUUCCUGUGGACAGCAGCUUUACCCCGUGCCUGAGAGUUCCAGCUUGUCCUACAGAGUUUGGACCUGCCAAGCCAGCCCCCACAAUCACAUAAGCCAGCUUCUUGCCAUAAAUCUCUUUAUAUAUUAUAUAUUCUCUUCUCCUGGUUCUGCUUUUCUGGUUGACCCCUGACGAUACAACAGCUGUGAUGGAACCAAGCCCAGCCCCUUGUCUGUCCCACCUCAGGUGAGGGUGCUUCUUUCCCUGCCCCCUUUUUUCAGGAGGCUUGUGGAGUUGCAAGAGCAAAGAAGAGUCUGUUUAGGGAAGGGCAUUAUGUACCUAGCCAUCCUCUGUGCACACAGAGACAAGCACCCAUAACUGUAGGACUGGAUUCUUGCCUCUCAGAGACACCCAAACCCACCCAGCCCCAUGUGCCUCACUUUAUAAGAUACCACUUAUGGUAUCCCUCUCUUUUGCCCAACCCUUGGGAAAUUCCCUUUGGGUUCGACACAUCACAGGAGAAUGACCAUGCCGGUGUCUUUCUUUCCCUCUUAGUUCUGUCUCCCUGUUCCCCAGUAAGGGUUUGAAAUAUAUGCACAGUGUUUUUAAUGAAGAGCCCGCUCUUUCUGCAUACGCCUCCAUUAACCAAAGUCAAUCUCAGGAGUCCUGGGGGUGAGAUCAAUUCUGCUCCAGAUAGCCGUGCCAACUUCCACUGCUUCCAAUAGUAUUUCAAACCUAUCAGGAGCCCUUGGCAAGCCAAACAUUUCCACAUGGUUUACACACAUUAAUUAAUAGCCUCAUGCCACCAUAGCGAGACAGGCGAGGGCAACUGGAGUGCACAGGUAGAGUUUAUGGGAGGGGGACAGGUUCCCCGCGAGCAGGGGAGGGGGGACCUUCCAGAGCAGAUGCUUUCCUCCCAUCCACAAUGGGUGGUUGUCUUUUUCUUGGAUGGAAUCUGGACUGCUCAGUGGGAGAGCCUCCAUGAAGCAUGAGCAACACAAGCUCUGUGAUCCCAUCUCUGCAGUGUCUUCAUGACUGUCGGGGGGCCAAACCUCCUUAUUGAGUAUGCUUGGGGCAGCCCGCUUGGUCUGAUAUUGGCUCCCAAGGACGAAGUCAGGCAAACUGAACAAGGAUGCUGCCUGCAAGGCUGCAGAGUGUGUAGGAUCGGGGAGGGGGGAGAAGGAGGGGAGGCCGGAGGGAGAGAAGAGGCUGAAAGCUGGCAGUAACCGCACACUAGUUCUGUGCCAGGAAAUGCAUGAGAGUCCUCCUCGGUCCUCAUCCUCACGGCAACCUGGCGAGGUAAUUAUCGCUGCUUUCUUCUUACAAAAGGUGAAACUGAGGUUCUGCCUGGCUUUAAAGUCUUUGCUGUUUCCUGUAUAUAUGACUUCUCUCACAUGGAAGGAAGAAUUCAACUGCCAAGCUUGAAAGAGGCAGUGAUGCUCAGUGGAGGGUACCUGGGUUCUAGCCCCAACCUUGUGACGGGUAAUUCACUGAAUGUCUGAGUGUCUCAGUGUAGUUAAUGGGUAAAUGGACAGACAGUUGUUUUGUGCAGGGGCAAAAGCGUGGCAUUUCAAAUCAGACUGCCUUGUAUUCUAGAAUCUACUAUCUCCCAGCUUUUAUUUAAAAUAAAAAAUCUAUAAUACCUAUCUAAUAGGGUUAUUGAUGAAAUGAGAUAUUGUAUAUAAAGUGCUUAGUGCAGGGCUGGCCACACUGUUAAAUGCAAAAUAAAUGUUAACUAUUAUUAAUUCCACAUAGAGACUCUAUGGAGAUCAUUUUUUUUUAGCUCAUUUUUAAUGAGCUCCUGCUUUUUGCACAGCAUUACUCUUGGUACUAUAAUAGGUGUGCAAACACACUGAAAGGUUGUAGAGCAUACUAUUAUUUUCAUAUGCAAGGAAAUAGUUUAAAAAGCUGGUUGCACAAGUAGAUAACUUUGUUGAAGAGAUAGUUCAAUCAAUGAGGUGGUCAGAUUUAAGGAUUAAUACAGAAAGGUUUCACGGAAGAUUAAAAGUCUGGGCAGGGUUUGGAAAGAGGAAAGGGCUAUGCUUUGGAGAAAGAAGUGUUCAUUUCUGGAGAGUAGAUGAAGUCUCACAGAAGGGGGAGGAAGUUGUGGGUUUGUGUGCAUGCACGUGUGUGUUUGUCUGCACCUGAGUAUGUGUCUGUGUGUGUGUAUGCUUGUGUGCACAUCUAGGUAUAUGUGUCUGUGUGUGUGCAUGUGUGUGUCUAUGUGUGCAUCUGGAGAUGUGUGUCUAUUUGUGUGUGUGUGUGCAUGUGCCUAUGUACAUGUGUGUGCACGUGUGCGUGUGUGUUUGGGGGGCACGGGGAGGGAUGUUGGGUGGUUGCCUGGACGGAGCUUGUUCUGGUGGGACGUGACCGCUGCCCAGGCUGGAGUCAGGGUCAUGAGGUCCAUGUGUGGGAGUCUCACUCUGGUAGCAAGACUUAGGCUGUAGGGUUCUUGGCUUGUUUCCUAGAGUUCCAGAAUUGUGCACUAGAAGACAUCUGGUUCAGCCUCCAGUCUAUCAGGCUAGUAAUAUCUCCCAGUUUUUACAAGGAAGAGACUAGUAAGGUGCCAAGAGUUGUAUGGACCUGUAUCACUGAGCCUACCCUCUUGGGUGCUCCCCUCUGUCCUGCCACCUUCUGUUAGCAGAGGUAACAAUUGGCCUGGGAGAGAGAGGAUGGGAGGGUGUCAGGGAGCAAGGAAGGGACAUGUAGUACCUUGCCAUCCUCACAACAAAAUAAGGACCAAAGAAAGCUUGGUGAGCAAGCCAUGAAGUUAGUAGAAAAAACCGUGGUGCCAUUUUCUGACUGGAGGAGGACUCUUCACUCUGCUUUCCCCCUAGCCCACGCCCCAGUCCCCUUGAACCCUGUAUCUGAUGUCCAAUAUUCUCUGACGUGUCUUAUACUUAAAACCCCCGUUGCUAUAGUACAGUUCCUAAUACUCGGCAUCCUUGAGUCCCCCAGCCUGGUACCCUGUCCUUGAGUUGUCUGUACCGUGGUGCUUCUCAAACUUCCCCUCUACUAGCAGCAAAUAAUCCAUCUGCACGCAUUAACCCUUCCCUCCACCCCCUCCUGCCCUGACUCUGUUCUAACCCUGCACCCAUGCAGUCUAUUCUACCAGCACGCUGUGCACUGGUAUUCAAGGUCCUCAUGUAAAUCACAUUUAAAGAAAAAAACAGCACUGAACACUUCAUGUGUUGAGACACCCGCCCCCCGCCCCCACGCACAGGUGCUUUCUGCACUGACCAAUGCCUCUCCCUCUCUGCUGGUCAGUCACAGUCCCAAAAGUAUUUACUGCAGGAGCGUAGGGGCAAGAUAUCCUGAAGGGCGUGGUGUUAAUAUUGAGUGUACAGAGCUAGCCUGUCGUUUUUACUUAACUCCAGUACUAAAGAUCAAUAAAAAUAGCAAAGUUUUCCAAAAAUCCUUUUAUUCGUCCUUUGCAUAAGAUUGAGGAAAUGCCUAGUCACCACAUCUAAGAAUAGUAUUUUUAGCAUUUCAGUGUUAUUAACGUGAUAAUUCCUGGGGAUAGCUGGGGGUGGUGCUGGAGAUGAUAGGAACGUUAAACCCUGCUCACCCCCAGCCAACUUCUGUUGCCACCACUGGUUUGGGAUCCAAUGGUGUCUUCUAUUCUAUAUUUGCACAACUUGGUAUGGUCGUCGCUAGCCACAUGUGGCCUCUGAGCACUUGAAAUAUGGCUAGUCCAAACUGAGAUGUGCCAUGAAUGUAAAAUACACACCAAAUUUCGAAGACUUAGUACGAAAAAAAGAAUGUAAAAUAUCAUUAAUCAUUUUUAAUGUUGAUUACAUGCCAAAAUGACACUAGUUUGUAUA
Molecule: long non-coding RNA, 4748 nt
Organism: Mirounga angustirostris (Northern elephant seal)
Lineage: Eukaryota; Metazoa; Chordata; Mammalia; Carnivora; Phocidae
Exons: 3
Source: RefSeq, a predicted model, not a curated record